Molecule: long non-coding RNA, 470 nt
Organism: Perognathus longimembris pacificus (Pacific pocket mouse)
Lineage: Eukaryota; Metazoa; Chordata; Mammalia; Rodentia; Heteromyidae
Exons: 3
Source: RefSeq, a predicted model, not a curated record
AGUGGUAAAAGUAUUUUAAAUUGCUUAUUCUUUAGAUGGUCUGGGGUUUGAACUCAGGGCCUUGUGCUGAGUCUCACCUGCUGUCCCCAUCUCUGCACCCCAGUUCCAGGCACCUCUUUGUUGCUUUUUGGUUAUAGUGACUAUACUGCCAAAGGGCCAUUGUACUCAGUGCUUCUGGUUUCUCCUGGCCCCCUCGCUCUCCUAGUUCAUAUGAAUUAAGUCUUAGUCUUUCACAUCCACAUUGGAAGCCCCAUUCUCAGUGAGGCUUUUCCUGGGCAACCUAUCUAAAAUUUCAGCUGCAUCCAUAGUACUUUCUGUUCUCUUGCUUGCUCUCCUCCCCCACCUUCGUUCACUCUUAUCAUUAUCUAACAUACUUCCUUAUUUAUUGUCUGCUUCUUGCAACUAGGGAGUAAAGUCUGUGAGGUGAGGGCUUUUUUUUUUUUGAGGGUUGGAUUGGGGUUGCUAGAACU